Molecule: ribosomal RNA, 468 nt
Filed under: uncultured bacterium
Lineage: Bacteria
Description: partial 16S ribosomal RNA
Rfam family: Bacterial small subunit ribosomal RNA
Source: RNAcentral
GACGAACGCUGGCGGCGUGCUUAAUACAUGCAAGUCGAACGGACAGGCCCUGCUUUUGUGGGGUGCUCGAGUGGCGAACGCGUGAGUAACACGUGAGUAACCUGCCCUUGAAUUUGGGAUAUCUUCAGGAAACUGGGGCUAAUACCGGAUAGGAGCUACUGCUGCAUGGUGGGGGUUGGAAAGUUUCGGCGGUUGGGGAUGGACUCGCGGCUUAUCAGCUUGAUUGUGGGGUAGUGGCUUACCAAGGCUUUGAAGGGUAGCCGGCCUGAGAGGGGGACCGGCCACAAUGGGACUGAGAUACGGCCCAGAAUCCUACGGGAGGCAGCAGGGGAGAAUAUUGCACAAUGGGCGGAAGCCUGAUGCAGCAACGUCGCGUGCGGGAUGACGGCCUUCGGGUUGUAAACCGCUUUCGCCUGUGACGAAGCGUGAGUGACGGUAAUUGGUAAAGAAGCACCGGCUAACUACGUG